UACGUAGGUGGCGAGCGUUGUCCGGAAUUACUGGGCGUAAAGGGUGCGUAGGCGGCAGAUAAAGUCCGAUGUGAAAACCCAGGGCUCAACCAUGGGAUUGCAUUGGAAACUAACCUGCUAGAGUACAGGAGAGGGGAGCGGAAUUCCUAGUGUAGCGGUGAAAUGCGUAGAUAUUAGGAAGAACACCAGUGGCGAAGGCGGCUUUCUGGACUGAUACUGACGCUGAUGCACGAAAGCGUGGGGAGCGAACAGGAUUAGAUACC
Molecule: ribosomal RNA, 263 nt
Filed under: uncultured bacterium
Lineage: Bacteria
Description: partial 16S ribosomal RNA
Rfam family: Bacterial small subunit ribosomal RNA
Source: RNAcentral